GGAUUAGAUACCCUGGUAGUCCACGCCGUAAACGAUGAGAACUAGCCGUUGGUUAGGUUUACUAAUCAGUGGCGCAGCUAACGCGAUAAGUUCUCCGCCUGGGGAGUACGGCCGCAAGGUUAAAACUCAAAUGAAUUGACGGGGGCCCGCACAAGCGGUGGAGCAUGUGGUUUAAUUCGAUGCAACGCGAAGAACCUUACCUACUCUUGACAUCCUCGGAAUCCUCUAGAGAUAGAGGAGUGCCUUCGGGAAUCGAGUGACAGGUGCUGCAUGGCUGUCGUCAGCUCGUGCCG
RNAcentral lists this ribosomal RNA (293 nucleotides) under uncultured bacterium. RNAcentral describes it as "partial 16S ribosomal RNA". It matches the Rfam family "Bacterial small subunit ribosomal RNA", at positions 775 to 1067 of the family's 1533-position model. The record is from RNAcentral.